This 430-nucleotide ribosomal RNA is filed under the name uncultured bacterium. RNAcentral describes it as "partial 16S ribosomal RNA". It matches the Rfam family "Bacterial small subunit ribosomal RNA", at positions 29 to 506 of the family's 1533-position model. The record is from RNAcentral.
AACGAACGCUGGCGGCAGGCUUAACACAUGCAAGUCGAGCGCCCCGCAAGGGGAGCGGCCGACGGGUGAGUACCGCGUGGGAACGUACCUUUUGGUUCGGAACAACUCCGGGAAACUGGAGCUAAUACCGGAUAAGCCCUAACGGGGAAAGAUUUAUCGCCGAAAGAUCGGCCCGCGUCUGAUUAGCUAGUUGGUGAGGUAACGGCUCACCAAGGCGACGAUCAGUAGCUGGUCUGAGAGGAUGAUCAGCCACACUGGGACUGAGACACGGCCCAGACUCCUACGGGAGGCAGCAGUGGGGAAUAUUGGACAAUGGGCGCAAGCCUGAUCCAGCCAGGCCGCGUGAGUGAUGAAGGCCUUAGGGUUGUAAAGCUCUUUUGUCCGGGAAGAUAAUGACUGUACCGGAAGAAUAAGCCCCGGCUAACUUCGU